This 474-nucleotide ribosomal RNA is filed under the name uncultured bacterium. RNAcentral's name for it is "bacterial SSU rRNA". It matches the Rfam family "Bacterial small subunit ribosomal RNA", at positions 38 to 507 of the family's 1533-position model. The record is from RNAcentral.
GGCGGCAGGCUUAACACAUGCAUGUCGAGCGGUAGCAGAUCUAGCUUGCUAGAUGCUGACGAGCGGCGGACGGGUGAGUAACGCGUAGGAACCUGCCCAGUAGUGGGGGAUAGCCCGGGGAAACUCGGAUUAAUACCGCAUACGCUCUACGGAGGAAAGAGGGGGCUUCGGCUCUCGCUAUUGGAUGGGCCUGCGUGAGAUUAGCUAGUUGGUGAGGUAAUGGCUCACCAAGGCGACGAUCUCUAGCUGGUCUGAGAGGAUGAUCAGCCACACUGGGACUGAGACACGGCCCAGACUCCUACGGGAGGCAGCAGUGGGGAAUAUUGCACAAUGGGCGCAAGCCUGAUGCAGUCAUGCCGCGUGUGUGAAGAAGGCUUUCGGGUUGUAAAGCACUUUCAGUGGGGAGGAAGGCCUCGUAGUUAAUAGCUGCGAGGAUUGACGUUACCCACAGAAGAAGCACCGGCUAACUCCGUG